UGCAGGGCUGAAUAGAACUGGAUUUUCUAU
Molecule: non-coding RNA, 30 nt
Filed under: Mus musculus (house mouse)
Lineage: Eukaryota; Metazoa; Chordata; Mammalia; Rodentia; Muridae
Source: RNAcentral